AGUGCGAAUGCCCGCUUGUUACUCCGAAAGAAACUUGUGGAAAGUUAAUAUCCGAACAGAAAUAAAAACAUUUGUGAAGGAUUUUUUUUGCUGCAUUGCCUUUGACGCUGGAUAAAGGAGGACGUGCUGUGGUAUGUUACGGACUUUUGAACUGGAACAGCUAACGCUCUGCACUUGGCUAGCUGCAUUUACCGCCUAUGCAGCAAAUUUGUCUUCAGGAGCGCUUUUGUGUCUGUCUUGUCUUCUGUGUUUUACUGUUAUGUCCAUGCCAGGGCAGAAGUAAAUUUUCAGGGGUGAAGAUGCUGUUCACCUUGACCAGCUAAGACUACAGAUUGUAGAUGAAGUCGAGAAAAGUGAAAAGAAUCCUGUCCUGAUUACAAAGCUGAUGCACACAACUUUGGCCUUGCGAUGCAAAGAGAUCAUCAAUGAUGACCUACCAGUAGGUCAGAUCCGGGAUUGCUGGCCUACUCUGAAAUUCCAGUCCCAGAUCUGUGCAGAAUUCCACAGGAUUACAAACCUCCACCUGAAGAACCACUUUUAUGCUGUGUUGGACCAACAUGCUCCCCUGCUCCAGAGCUUAUUCAGAAGGAAAGCUGUUUGCACAGGGAACGUGUCUGAUGUCCUGUCUCAGCUCUUCAGAAGCUAGAAUCUCCAGGAACAAGCUGAUAUCCAUGCUCAACGUGCUGGCGUGCUUCAUGCCCUCCCUGCCUAUUUGUACGAAGACACCUCUACCUUCAUCAAAACUUCGGAUAUGAUGCAUACUGAUAGACCAGAUAUUAGUGAAGUGCCACUUGGACUCCUCCUGAUCAGAGCCAAUUCCAGCGAUGCAACAUUCUUCUGCCCUGAGAAGACUGCAGUUUUGGUCGAGGGUGGGAUCUUGAAUGUCACUUAAGGAACGUUCCUCCUGAACUACUCAUAACUGACAUAAGGCGGUAAGGAGGUUUAUAACACUUUGUUUUAUGUUUCUAAAGAAGUAUUUUUCUAUUUAAAGUUUUAUUGCUCUGUUGUUGAGACUGUGAUUGCACUCUACAAAUGUGCAUUUUGCAUAACCACAGUAUUGGCAUAUUAAAAAGGUUACCAAUUAUAUUUCAGUGUAUUAGCUGCACUAUACGGUAAUUUACUUUCAUUCAGUUUUCCCACUUAAUAAUGCAGGAUUUUCUUUUCCUUUUGUUUUUUUAAUAAAAAGGUCAUACUCAUGUGUUAAUCAAAUCUGAAUACUCUUAAAACAUGUUGUGAAAUUCUUUAUUUCUAAUAUUGUAACCUUGUGCCAAAACUGGACAUUUCUGACAUUAUUCCCUAUAAAAUGUGGUGGAUUUAUGUCUUUGGGCUUUUUGUCAGAAAAGCUAUGUGUUAAAGUAACUCAAUAAAUUUGUAACUUGAAUUUAUA
Long non-coding RNA from Oreochromis aureus, 1387 nucleotides. NCBI's taxonomy places the organism in Eukaryota, Metazoa, Chordata, Actinopteri, Cichliformes, Cichlidae. The record is from Ensembl.